UAUUAUUAUUGUUCAAAGAGAUCCUUUUCAAAUUUAGCAUAAUACCUAUAUUUUUUAAAGUUCUCAAAAUCUUUCACUUUAGUCCAAAAUAUUGAAAAUAUGAGAUUUUCCUCAGGCGGUUAGCCGCUUCUUCUUUGUCCAAUUUUGGAUUUCAAGUGUUUAGAUUACAUUUAGGUCCUCAAACUUUCAUAAAUUAUAGUAUGCCCCAAAAUGUUUCAAACCUUUGCAAAUAAGUCCAAAUCUGAAUUUCAAAAUAAUAUUUAUUAAACUCAAAGAUUACAAAACUUUUUCAUUUUAAUCCAAAUUAGUCAAAUCCACAAAACACCUUAUCUUAUAAAUAUAAAACCUUUUAGUUUAUAAAAAAUAAUUAUUAAAUUAAUCUCUUGAGCUUCUCAAAUGUUAAAUCAUGCAUCAAUUAAAUCAUACCGGCUUUACAAGAAUUUAUCGCACUAAUUUGUUCGUUGAGCUCUAAACUUUAUUCUUGAUUUCGCGGUUGUCUGUUGAGUGUCUUGAGCUUGAUUCACUUGUAUAAAUAUUACCCUUAAAAAACUAGUGAAAAUGUUAUAUACAAUAUCUAUUAAAUCACUUAAUACAUAUGUUUGUUAUUAUCAAAAUUACAUUAUGUAUAACCAUUUAGGCUAACAAGAGGCACAGCAGAAAAGGCUUGAGGAGCUGAAGUUCAAAGACCUAAAGGUGAAAAUUUACCUUUUCCAAGCAUUCGACAGAACCAUUCUGGAGACUAUAUCAGAAAAAGACGCCUCAAAGAAGAUAUGGGACUUGAUGAACAAGAAAUAUGAAAGCAAUUCUAGGGUGAAGCGCUCGAUUCUUCAGGAACUAAGGAAGGAUUUUGAAACUCUAGAGAUGAAGAUAGGUGAAAGCAUUACUGAUUAUUUUGCUCGAGUUAUGUCAGUUGCUAGCAAAAUGAGGGCAUAUGGAGAGCAAAUGAAAAAUGUUGCGAUUGUGGAAAAGAUUCUUAGAUCUUUGACUGACAAAUUUAACUAUAUAGUUUGCGCGAUCGAGGAAUCUAAGGAUGUCGAUGUACUAACCAUUGAUGAACUGCAAAGUUCACUCAUUAUACAUGAACAAAAACUCUACAGGAGCAAUGGAGAGGAACAAGCUCUAAAGGUGACUGUUGAUGAAAGAAUUGGAGGAAGAGGUCGUGGAAGAGGCAAUUUUAGAGGAAGAAGGGGUCGAGCCUUCGAUAAAGCCAUAAUUGAGUGUUAUAAGUGCCACAAGCUUGGCCAUUUUAAGUAUGAAUGUCCAACCUGGGACAAGGAGGCAAACUAUACAAAAUCAGAUGAGCAAGAAGAGAUGCUAUUAAUGUCUUACAUGGAGAUGCAUGAAGCCAAACAAAAGGAUGCCUGGUUCUUGGACUCGGGGUGCUAAAAUCACAUGUGUGGAGAUAUGAGUAUGUUUAGUGAGCUGAAUGAGAGUUUUACACAGCAAGUGAAGCUUGGAAACAACACCAAAAUGACAGUGCUUGGUAGAGGAAAUGUCAGACUACACUUGAAUGGUAUUAACCAUGUCAUUUCAGAGGUUUUCUAUGUUCCAAAAUUGAAGAACAACCUCCUCAGUGUGGAACAACUACAUGAAAAAGGACUUGCAAUCCUAAUCCAAAUGGGAAUGUGCAAGAUCUACCAUCUAGACAAGGGUUUGAUCAUUCAAACUAAUAUGACAGCUAAUAGAAUGUUAAUCCUAAUAGCCAAUAUGCAAGAAAAGAAAGUUUCUUGUUUCCACACAAGCUCACAAGACCUCUCUCACUUAUGGCGCUGUAGAUAUGGAUGUUUGAGCCACAAAGGUCUAAAAAUCUUGCAAACUAAGAACACGGUACGUGGUCUGCCAAAUCUCCCUGCAAGCACAGUGGUUUGCACUGAUCAUUUAAUUGGCAAGCAGCAUCGAGAUCCCAUUCGCAAGAAGAGUGCAUGGAGGGCUACCAAAAAGCUACACCUCAUCCAUGUGGAUAUUUGUGGUCCUAUCACUCCUGCAUCUAAUAGCAACAAGAGGUACAUUUUGUUAUUCAUUGAUUAUAGUAGUAGAAAAGCAUGGGUGUAUUUGUUGGUAGAAAAGUUAGAGGCUUUAAUUUUUUUUAAAUGCUUUAAGACUAUGGUUGAGAAAAAGACAGGGUUGUUUGUUAAGUGUUUAUGCACUAAUAAAGGAGGAGAAUUCAAUUCAAGUGAGUUCAAUGAUUUUUGCAAACAAAGUGGGAUCAAGAGACAGUUGACCACCGCUUACACCGGAGGAGGCUUGAAGUGGGGUCAAACCCUCAGUAUAUCAUUUUUGGAUCUUUGGUUGCAUAGCACGUAUCCAUGUUCCAGAAGCAAAGAGGACUAAACUUGAUAGUGGAAGCAUUACUUGUGUGCUAUUGGGAGUUAGUGAGGAAUCAAAAGGUUAUGGGUUAUUUGAUCCUGUAGUUAAGAAAGUUGUUGUGAUUAGAGAUGUAGUUUUUGAAGAAGAAAAGCAAUGUGAUUGGGAUGUGAGUAAUGAAAAACAAAUAGUAAUAGAUUUAGAGCGGGGUGAUGGUGAUGGUGAUGGUGAGUAUGACGAGGGGGUGAGUGAAAAUUUGAAUGGUGAUGAUAUUGAUGCAGAGGUAGGAGAGACUUGUGAUGAGGGGGUUAGAGAAGAGGAAAAUGGCUCUCGUGAGGGUGAAGAAAGAGUGAGAGAAUUAAGGCAAUCUCGUGAGAGGCAGCCUCCUAUAUAGAUGGGUGAUUAUGUUAGUGGAAAAGGUUUGUCUAAUGAUGAAAUUCAUAUAGCACUAGUGGUAUCAACAGAUCCAUUGUAUUUUGAGGAUGCGGUUAAGAGUACAAAUUGGAGAUUGGCCAUGGAUAGUGAAAUCAAAUCCAUCGAGAAGAACAAACAUGGACACUUACUGAACUAUCAACUGGAGCUAAAAAAAAUGUGGUGAAGUGGGUUUACAAAACCAAAUACAAUGAGCAAGGAAAGGUUGAUAAAUACAAGGCUCGUUUGGUUGCUAAAUGGUACUCUCAGAAGCAUAGAGCGGACUAUAUAGAAGUUUUUGCACUAGCAGCGAGGAUGGAUACAGUGAGGAUGAUUAUCUCUCUAGUUGCACAGAAGGAUUUGAAGAUUUUCCAGCUGGAUGUAAAAUCGACUUUUCUCCAUGGUAAGCUGAGUGAAGAUGUUUAUGUGGAGCAGCUAAGAGGAUAUGAAAAAAAAAGGCGGUGAGCAUCUCAUUUACAAGUUACACAAAGCUCUAUAUGGAUUAAAACAAGCUCCCCGAGCUUGGUUUAGUUGAAUUGAAGCACAUUUCAUCAGUGAAGGGUUUCGGCGGUGCGAUAGCGAGCAAACAUUAUUCACAAAGAGAAGUAAGGAAGGAAAAAUUAUCAUUGUAAGUGUUUAUGUUGAUGAUUUAGCUUUUACUGGUGAUGAUGAAGUUAUGAUGUCUGAAUUUAAAAGUUCCAUGUUAAGAGGUUUGAUAUAUCCGACCUGGGGAAGAUGAGGUUUUUUCUUGGGAUUGAAGUGCUACAAAAGUCUAAUAGUAUUUAUUGACACGACUCAAAAAUGUAUUACUCUCAAGUAUAACAGUGUCUAGUUAUAAUAUAACUCGGUGAGACCGGGGUCGAACCACAGGGAGUUUUAAAUCUAGUAAAACUAAGAAAAUUAAUUACGGGGCAAAGAAAUUAUUUGAAAAUGAUUUAAAAAUAAGCUAAGGCUACAUGAUCCACUCUCAGUAUUCAAACUAUAAUUUUAAUACUCUCUCAUUUUUAGCCUCACUUUUUCCAGUUAAUUAUUAUAUCAUUUAAUUCUCAACUAACUAUGUGUGUGGAUAAAUAUGAAAUAAAGUACCUAAUGUGCCACACUAUAUUAAUGUGUCGACAUUAUGUCAAAAUACCAUACAGAUCCAAAGAAAUUUAUAAAUUAAUAUGAUAUAAAAAUAACUAGAAAAGAAUAAAAUAAACUUUAAACUCAUUUGAGAAAAUAAUAAAUUUAAUAGUUUGAAACAUUGAGCUUCACCCUUCACCUUAGCUUAAUAAAAUUAGCCACUCAUAUUGAAAGAAAAUAGAAUACUUAUUUAUUUAAUAAACUUUUGAAGUACGUUACAAGAAAAUUGAUUACAAACGGAAAAGAGAAAACAAAAGAAAGAAAGAAAGAAAGAAAUUCUUCAGCUGCACUCUAUUCUCUCUCGACUUAAGCUCCUCAAAAAAUAGCUUUUGGCUCUUGGCUCUCUCUUCUCACUGUAUUUCCUUGCCUUUUAUAGGCAAGGAAUUCAUUAUCUUUAUUUAUUUUAUUAUUAUUAUUAUAUAUAUAUAUAUGUACAUUGAAAUGUGUAAUGGUCAAGUGGCCAUCACCAGAAGCCAAACAAUUUGGUUUUUAUUCUUUUGUUCUUUUAUUAUUAUUAUUAUUAUUAUUUUACAUCUCCUCAAUAAUGCUUCUAAAUCGCUCCAGCAGUCUUUCUUUGUUCCCGCUUUCAAUUCCAAUUUAUUCCUGAAAAAUAUUUAUAAGGUAAAAAUUAACAUAUUGCAAAUUAAUUUAACAUAAAAAUUUAUUUGGGGAGCAUUCAUAUAAUUUAUAAGUUAUGCGUGCAUUAAUCAACACUUUAAGUGAAAAAUCAAUAAUUUUAUCCUUAUUACAUGUACACUUUUUAGUGUUAAUCACACCCCCAACCAGCUUAUUGCUAGGCCUUAGCAAUUUAAGCGAUAAAAAUUUAGAGAAAUUUCAAAACCAAAUUGAAAAUCUUUUUUUUUUUAAAAAAAAGAUUGUGUUUACUUCUUUCAUUAGAUUAAUGACAACAAUCAAAUAAAAGUAUAAGUAUUAUCUUUAGCCUAACGAAAAUCACACCUGCUCAAAACAGUUCAAUAAAAUCUUGUAAAAUGAUCAAUCAUCAGAGCUAUAUUAAUCAAGCCACUUUUAAGAAUGAUACAUCAAACUCUAAAAUCUCACGAUUAAGAGUGACUCUCUCGAAAGAAGAUAUACCCCAAAUUAAAUUGUCACUCUAAAAAUAAUGGUAAAUUUGAGAGGAUAAUAAAACAAUAUCACACACUCUCACCAAGAUGAAAAAAAAUAAUGCCCACGACUUAGAAAUUAAAUGAUCUCAAAUCCAAGGAAUUUACUAGCAAAAGUUAUUUUUAUUUUUAUGCAUCACCACAUCUUUUAGUUCAUAUCACCAGCUUUAUUUCAGACUAUAGUUCCCUAAAAUCAAAAAGGAUUUUUAUUAGGACGUAACGUAGGCUAAGGUCAUGGCUAACAAAAAAGGUAAUAGGGAAAACAAAAAAUAUAUGUUUGAAAAAUAUGAGACUUUUUAGAGAUUACAAGGUGCUUUUUUUAUUUUAUUUAUUCAUAUAUACACAUCAUCUUUUUUUUUAAUAGCACUAUUAUUAGGAAUACAUAAUCAUCCUUAUUUUCAAACAUAAUUAGGUGAUGGAAAACAUAAAACAUAAGGUGAUACUCCUCAUUGGAGUAGGAAAAUAUGAUAGGUUACCAAAGAAAAAGUUUUUUUAAAAAAAAGGCUCAAAGGAGUUAACUAUGGAUUAUUUAUAAUAGAAUUGACUAGAAAGGCUCAAACGGAUCAAAAAUAGCCUUUUGUCAUCUUUUAGGGCUCUAUACAAUCUUUCAUAUCCACUAGUCAAUGGACUUUUAGAUGCGGCUGCACAAACUUUUUUUUUAAAGAAAAUAUUGAUAUCUUGUACAAUAAAUUAUGGAGCUGUAUAGGCAAACAAUGUUACUCUCCAAGGAUAAUAGGCUCAAAAACUCGCUUGGUCUUUUCAUAACAUGUACAUUCCUCCAAAUGGCUUAAUCAAUUUCACUCAUCUAAUUUCUCAAUUUACGUUUCAAAAUGCAAAACGGAAAACAUAGUGUAACAUAACUCAAGGUCAAAGAUAAUAUAAAUACUAAAAUUUGAAAAUCGUCAUGUUAUCCAAUGUUAAAAGAUCACACCGAAAAAGAAUUUUUUUUUUUAAAGAAACACUAAAAGAAAUUGAGAUUGAUUGCAGAAACUUAAGGGAGAUGAUUAAGAGAAAAAGAGAAAAAAACAGAAAAUAAAAUGUUAGAAGACAUUUUUUUUAAAACAAAACACUAAACUUUAGAAGAUGUGUUCUAGAGACACUACAUUCUAUAUUCUGCCAUCUUCGACUUAAAGUUUUAUCCAAAGUUAGUCUUUACAACAAAAAUUAGUAAAAACAUCACUAGGACGAAGACAUUCCACAAUUAUCAACUAUUCCCUCCCCUCAACCUGAAAGAGACAUUAUCCUCAAUGUCUAAAGAAAUGAGUAGAGUUUAGAAGAUAUCACCUGGCCACUGCUGGAAAUAUUAACAAACGGAGAGUUAAUUCUAAUUUACACUUUUUUACGAGAGUGACUGCCAUCGUCCUCAGUUGCCCAAUCCAACGCCAAAGUCACGGAAUCUGGCUCUGGUUUGUAAGGUUGCAAAAGAUCAAGUAACUCAUUAGCAGUAGAAGCACAAAUGAAGAGUUUUUUCGCUGAGGAUGGAAUGAAAUUAUUUUUAAUUGCAUGAUUAAGAAAUGUUAUUAAGCCAUCAUAAAAGUUAUUAAUAUUUAACAAACCGAUCAGUUUUUUUAUGGAUAUUCAAAUGGGCCCAAGAAGCAAAGUUGGUGGGUCUGGUAGACAUCCUAAAGGUUUUAAGGCUUUUGGAAUGAUGCCUAACACUUAGCUUCCUCGAACGAAAGCAGCAUCAGAGACAAGCUUUGAUAACCCUCGGUCACUUCAUCCAUAUACAAGAUGUAGUUUCCUCUCUGCUAUAGCACGACUAAGAUCUACAGCUGCCUGAACGAACUCCUUAUACUUUCCAUAGCGAAAUCCAGAAAGCACACAAAUAUUUUUAAGUUGACUGAUUGAAGUUGCUGCCAUUAGAAAAUUUCUAAAAAGAAACAAUUUGUGAAUGCUUGAAAAUGAGCUCCUAUUUAAGGAUCUUGGUGACGGACAUAAUGAUAUACAUCUGUAAAUGGGGUUGUGUGAUUGUCAAAUGACGCGUGAAGCUUUUAGCUUAAUAAUUCAAAGGCAAACAGUGAAAAGAAAAAGCAAACAGUGAUUAGAUAAAAUAAAAAAGAAAAAACACACAAUAAUAAUAAUAAUGCAAAAGAUAAAAGAACAAUAAAAUAAAAGGAUAUUUAUUGGUAGUUGUGAUUGUAGCUCACAUCUUCCUCUGGUUUUACGUCCAGUAACGGCUUGAACGCCCUCUAUGGAUCGAGGAUAGACUUCCCAUCCAGUUUUCUUAUAAACUGGCAAACAAAGUCUUUUAGAGUUAAAUUCCCAAGACUAAACUGUGCACUUUCCUUUUGCAACAGCUUCCACAAAUUUUGAAUUUCACGUUGAACAUAUCCACUCAGAUGCAUCUCAAGAGAUCGUAAGAUAUCAUCCAACGAUUCUUUACUCAUGCCAUCCUUAACGAAUUUGAUUUUCUCUUUACGAUUUACAGAAACCAUUUCUAAAGUUUUACAACGUGGCGUUUUGCAAGCAAGUCUUACACAGUGAGAACAUUCAGAGCCAAGUCGCUUAGCUCUUCUUUUCUUAACAAAUGUACUUUUACCAAAACCAGGCAUGUAGGAAAUGAAUCGAUCAGAAAACUCUCCUGCCAAUCAGACAUUUUACUUCAAUUAACCAACGAAUGUAAGUAGGAAUCCCAUUGAUCAUUAACAAACGCAGUCGUUCACAACGAGUUUUGUAAAUCUUCUUAAGAGCAUUUUGAAGAAGAGAAGGAAAACAUUAAUGCAAAUUUCAUUGUAUUUCUUCCAUGCUUGACAUUGAGGUUUUAGUUAUUGUGGGAAACUGUGAAUACCGACUUAAAAAGUCACGGAGUACCGUUAUCCGCCAUUUAUACGGGAGAGUGAAUCAAAACAAAACGAAUCAAAUCUACAAAAUCAAAUCAAAAGUGAAAAAGAACAACAAAAUAAAACAAAAACACACAAGGAAUAUAACUCACCUUCAUCAUUUUAUUCAAUUUACCUCCAGUUCCAAUUGCAGAUUAUAAAUACCAUCCUCUAUUUCCUUGAGUUGUCUUUCUAGAUCUUUCACGUGUGAUACUAACUCUGGUGGCUGUAGAUCCCAAAUGGGAUGUGAUUUACAAAAUCAGAGUAAUUUCCUCAAGUGAAAUUUUACAUGUAAAAGUAUUUUAAGAUGAUCGAAAAGGAAAUUUCUCAUGGAGGUACUGAUGACAAGUAUAAAAAUUUGGUGAGCUAAAUCACAAUUGUCAAACAACACAAUUAAAACAAUGCAAUGCACUCCAUUCAAGACAUAGGGAAAAGGAAAAAGAAAAAAAAUCAAACAAUUCAAAAGAUAAAGUAACAGUAAAUCAAAUUCACAAAAAGUUAAAAUGAAAAGGAUUAAUUAAAAUUUGGUGGGUCACUCAAAUUGAUUUCAGUAUCUGCUUCAUGUGGUUGGUAUUCCAGAUAUGGUUUCAAUUUUUGGCCAUUAACUUUAAAUGUGACACCAUCCUUUGGAUUCUCAAUUUCUAUGGCUCCAUAUUGAUACUCAUUUUUUGCAACAAAUGGACCAUUUCACUUUGACUUUAACUUCCCUGGAAAUAAAUGAAAACGAGAAUUAUAAAGCAACAUUUUUUGACCAAUUUCAAAUGUUUUCCGAAAAAUUCUUUUGUCAUGAAAAAAUUUGGUUCUUGCUUUAAUAAUUCUAGAAUUCUCAUAUGCAUCAUUCCUUAAUUCCUCAAGUUCAUUUAUUUGCAAUUUACGCACAUUACUAUUAUCAUCAAGAUUUGAAUUAAAAGCUUUAAUGGCCCAAAAUGAUUUACGUUCAAGUUUAAUUGGUAAGUGGCAAGAUUUUCCAUAAACAAGCUGAUAGGGUGACAUUCCUAAAGAUGUUUUAAAAGCAGUACGAUAUGCCCAAAGUGCAUCAAUUAGUCAAAGAGACCAAUCUUUAUAGUUUGGAUUAACUGUCUUUUCUAAAAUUUGUUUUAUCUUCCUAUUUGCUAAUUCAACUUGACCACUUGUUUGAGGGUGAUAAGGGGCAGCAACCUUAUGUGUAAUUCCAUAUUUCUUCAUUAAGGACUCAAAUGGCUUAUUACAAAAAUGCUUACCUCCAUCACUGAUAAUGGCACGAGGUAUUCCAAAUCUGCUUAAACGAUUUUCUUUUAAAAAACGGAUCAUAAUCUUGUGAUCAUUGCCGACAAUAAAUCACCUCGAUCCAUUUUGAAACAUAAUCAACAGCAACCAAAAUGUAUACAAAUCCAAACGAUGAUGGAAAAGGGCCCAUAAAAUCAAUUCCCCAAUAAUCAAAUAUUUCAAUGACAAAGAUGGGGGUUAAAGGCAUCAUGUUUCACUUUGAAAUAGACCCUACCAUUUGACAAUUCUUACACACUUUACAGAAUACAUGUGAAUCUUUAAAUAAUGCAGGCCAAUAAAAUCCACAUAGCAAUAUUUUUACAGCUGUCUUUUUUAAAGAAAAAUGGCCACCGCAUGCUUUAGAAUGACAAAAUUGAAUGACCGUACUUACCUCGUCGUCUGGUAUGCAUCUUCGAAAAAUUUGAUCAGAGCAGUACUUGAACAGGUAUGGAUCAUCCCAGUAAAAGCUUCUCACUUCUGUUAAGAAUUUCUUCUUGUCCUGGGAACUCCAGUCACAUGGCAUUUCACCUAUUGCAAGAUAAUUAACAAUAUUAGCAUACCAAGGUAUUUUGUUUAUAGAAAAUAAAAAUUCAUCAGGGAAAGAAUCAUUGAUGGGUGUUGUUUCAAUUAAAGACUCAUUUGUAAGUCUUGAAAGAUGAUCUGCAACAACAUUUUUAGCGCCCUUUUUGUCCUUGAUUGUUAAAUUAAAUUCUUGAAGUAGCAAAAUCCAUCGUAUCAACCUUGGUUUGGCAUCCUAUUUUGACGUUAAAUAUUUCACAGCAGCAUGAUCAGAAUAAACAACAGUAGAUGAACCAAUUAAAUACGAACGAAAUUUAUCCAAUACAAAUAUUACAGCAAGUAGUUCUUUCUCAAUUGUAGUGUAAUUCAUUUAAGCACUAUUCAAAGUUCUACUUACAUAAUAGAUGAGAAAAGGCUUACCUUCCUUUCUUUGACCCAGAACAGCGCCAACAACAUAAUCACUAGCAUCACACAUUAGCUCAAAAGGUAAAGACCAAUCAGGGGGUUACAUUAUUGGGACUGAUGUCAAAAGGCUAGUUAUCUUUUCAAAAGCUUGUUGACAAUCUUUAGUCCAUUCAAAUUGUGUGUCUUUUAUUAGGAGGUUAUAAAUUGGUCUAGAUAAGGCACUAAAGUCUUUUAUAAACCUCCGAUAAAAUCCUACAUGUCCUAAAAAAGAACAGACCUAAUUGUCUUUGGUGAGGGUAAUUUUGAAAUGACUUCAACUUUGGCUUUAUUAACUUUGAUUCCUUUUGACGACACGACAUGACCCAAGACAAUUCCAGAAGUGGUCAUGAAAUGACAUUUUUCCCAAUUUAAAACUAGUCCUUUUUCUUUGCACAUUUCCAAAACCUUUUCUAGAUUAUCAAAAAAUGUAUCAAAAGAAUUACCAAAUACAGUUAAAUCAUCCAUAAAAACCUCUAGAUAAUUUUUAACCAUGUCACUAAAAAUGCUUAGCAUGCAUAUUUGAAAUGUUGCAGGAGAAUUACAAAGUCCAAAGAGCAUUCUCCUAAAUGCAAAUGUUCCAAAUGGGCAUGUGAAUGUGGUCUUUUAAGGCUAUAGGGAUUUGAUAAUAGCCAGAGUAGCCAUCAAGAAAGCAGUAGUAGGGAUGUCCCGCUACUCUUUCGAGAAUUUGGUCUAGAAAUGGAAGGGAAAAAUGAUCUUUUCUAGUGGCAUCAUUUAAUUUUCUGUAAUCAAUGCGCAUGCGCCAACUAGAUGAAAUUCAUGUUGGGAUUGGUUCACCUUUUUCAUUUUUUACAACAGUUAUUCCAGAUUUCUUUGGUACUACUUGUGUUGGAUUUACCCAUUUACUAUUAGAGAUAUGAUAGAUAAUUCCUACAUCUAGUAGUUUAAAGACCUCAUUCUUUACCACUUCUUUCAUAUGAAGGUUUAAUCUUCUUUGUGGUUGACGGGUUGUUUUGACAUUUACUUCUAAGUGUAUUCGGUGUGUGCAAAUUAAAGGAUUAAUGCCUUUUAUGUCUUUUAAGGUCCAACCAAAUGCAGUUUUAUGCCUUUUUAGUACAGAUAACAACUUACCUUUUUGAUCAUGCGUGAGCUGGGAAGAAAUUACCACUGAAUAUGUCUGUUGUUCUCUAAGAUAGACAUACUUCAAUUCUUCUAGUAAAGGCUUUAAUUCGAGCUCUGGUGCUUCCUCUUCGUUUGGUUCUUCAGGUUGUAUCGUAUCUUCAAAGUUGGAUUGGUCAUCGUCACCUAUAGGUACCUGCAUUGAAUUAAGUGUAGGGCAUAUGUUAGCAGUAUCACAAUCUAAUUCCUUACUUGAUUCAAAAGAACCAGUAAAAAUAAAUUUCCACAGAGUUUGUAAAAUUCUCAUCCUGAAUGUGUUCCUCAAUGAUUGGCUCGAUGAGAUCAAUCUCCUUAUUCUCAUUAUCAUCAUCUUCUUGGUGGUGAGGUUGUUUACACAUGUUGAACAUAUUGAGUUCCAGUGUUACGUUGCCGAAAGAUAAAUUCAUUAAUAUAUUCCUGUAAUUUAUCAAAGCAUUAGCUGUAGCUAAAAAUGAUCGACCCAAUAGAACAUGAAUUUGUUUGCAUUCAUUAGCAAUUGGUUCUGUUUCCAAAAUAAUAAAAUCCACAGGAUAUAUGAAUUUAUCAACCUGGACUAAUACAUCUUCAAUUAUUCCUUUUGGAACCUUAAUCGAUCUAUCAACAAGUAAAAGAGUGGUAGAAGUUAGUUUUAACUCACCGAGAUUGAGUUGUUGGUAUACUUAGUAAGGAAGCAAAUUAACACUAGCACCAAGAUCAAGUAGAGCAUGUCCAAUUUUAUGAUCCCCAAUAGUGCAAGAAAUAGUUGGACAAUCAGGAUCCUUGUAUUUCAAAGCACUAUUGGUUGAGAGAAUGGAACUUACCUGUUCUACUAGAAAAGCUCUCUUUUGCAUCUUAUGUUUCCUUUUCACCGUGCACAGAUCUUUCAGAAAUUUAGCAUAAGAAGGUAUCUGUUUAAUGACAUCCAGUAGAGGGAUGUUGACCUUUACUUGUUUAAAAACUUCAUAAAUUUCUGGACUGUGAUUUGAUUUCUUUGGCUUGAUUAGUGCUUGAGGAAAUGGGGGUAUAGGAGGAGAGUUGGUUAUUUCUUCAUGGGUUAAAGGUUCGAUAGACUCUUCUGAAAUACUAACUAGGCAACCCAAGAGGGGGGUGAAUUGGGAUUUUAAAAAUUAUCCUAGGCAAACCACACAACAAUUUAAUCUAAUGCCUUAAUAAAUUCGAAAACAAUAAAUUCAAUCAAGCACAAUAUUAAAAGAGUAAGGGAAGAGAAAACGAACACAAGGAUUUUUACGUGGUUCGGCUAUCCCUGCCUACGUCCAUGCCUCCAAGCACACCGGGCUUGAGGAUUUCACUAAGCUAGCCUCCCAAGGCUUCAACCGCUUACAAUUGACUUCCAAGGUGUCAAUGGACCUUUACAACAAGAGAUUAUCCCCAAUCUCUUAACUCAAGUGUAUCCCAACACUUACAAUCUUUUAACUUGAUUUUACAAAAAAGAUUACAAAUGAAUCUCUCAUACACAAUGUGUUUGAUCACAAGUGAAAGCUCAAUGUGUGAAUGAAUGAGAUGAAUACAAAGAUUUAAAGCUCAAUAAAAGUUGUAUUCUCAAUAUUUUGCUCAAUGAUGAUCGUUGGAAUUCUUUUGUUUGAAUUGGAUUGAGCAUAUUUAUAGUUGGAGCUGAAAAACUAGCCGUUAUAGAUUGUCUGCACGAAAACGGUUCGCCGUUAACCAUUAACGGUUAACCGUUUAGGCCGGUCAAAGUUACCGUUGGGCCAAUUUUCAAAUAAACGGUUAGCCGUUUAGGCUUACCCUUUCGCCGUUAAUUUCCAGAGACCUGCAAAACAAAUUUGGUUUAACCGUUCUUACUAAACGGUUCAAGGUUAGCAAUCUGGAAAUAAUCGGUUAACCGUUUUCAGUAAACGGUUCACCGUUAGUUUCCAGAAUCAUCAUUUUAACAAUACUUUGCAGAACAUGCUUUCUGGAAAUUAUCGGUUAACCGUUUUAAAUAAACGGUUAGCCGUUUGCUACAGUAACCUGCACAGUGCACUAUUUUCUAAAAUUACAGUUUGACCCCAAAACUUUAUAAAAUUGUAUUACGGCCCAAAACGUUAUAAAACUUUGCAAAUAGGUCCAAUUUCAGAAUUUAUAAGUAAUGCUUUGUUAAUCUCAAAACUUUCUGAAAUUAUGAUAUAGCCCAAAAUGCUAUGACACUUUUCAAAUAAGUCAUUCUCCAAAAUUUCAAGCAAUACUUAUUUAUUUCAAAGUUUCAAAUUUCUUUCAAUUAAACCAUAAACUUUGAAAAACAACCAAUUUCAUAAAAUCAUUUUUCCAUUAAAUAUGAAACAUUUAUAAUGUGAAAAUAAUGAUUUAUUAUUUAAAAAGAAUAAAAACAAUCAAUUUCAUAAAAUCAUUUUUCCAUUAAAUACAAAACAUUUAUAAUGUGAAAAUAAUGAUUUAUUUAAAAAGAAUAUUAAAUAAUUUGAGCUUAAAAGAUUAAUCAUUCUUAAACUUAUUUGUUAUCAUCAAAAUCAAUAUUAUGGAAACAUAUAUGUUAACAUCUUCCUUAUUUUCUGAAAUUGAAUCUUUACUAGUUUCACGAGAGUCCACAAUGUGUUUUUCGACCACUUUACCACCACGAAGGGUUGUAACUGAUUUGACUUUACUCAUGUUUUGGUUUCUUGAAUUUUUCAUUUGAGGAUGUUGUUGACUCUUGGGGUUUGGUUCAAGUUGAGCAGGAAACUUUCCUUUUUUCAUGCAUGGUUAGAGUAGAUGUAAGUUUGAAGACAGUUUCUGUCAAAUUGGUUAAGGUUUGCAUCGUUUGGUUAUUGAUUGACUUUUGUUUUUCAAUAAACGAAUGCAAUGUGUCUUCCUGAGUUUUUCUUGGUGGUGGGACAUAUGGUUGGUAACUCUGGGAAUUUUGAAAAUUUUGACGUAGAGGAACUGGUUGUGAGAGUUGUGCAUGAUUGUCAUUUCUCCAACUGAAAUUUGAGUGGUUUCUCCAACCAGAGUUGCAAGUUUGGGAGUAUGGAUUUGGAUUUGGCCUUUUGAAAUUGUCAACGACAUUUACUUGUUCAUGCAAACUUUCUCUCAGAGCUGGCAAAGUUGGACAGUCCUGCGUAGAAUGGUCAGUAGAAUCACAAACAUAACAUGAAAUAUUUUGAACAGACUUUACAUGAUCAUUCUUUUUCAACUCUAAUGCUUCGAAUUUUCUAGCUAAUGAUGUAAAUUUGGCUUGAAAAUCAUGGUCUUCCCUAAGGUUAUGCAUGCCUCCACCAGAUGGAAAUGGCUGGGGUUUACUUGAUAACUCAUAAAACCCAACUGUAUCACAGUGUUGUGCAUUCUCUGCUAUGUAGUCAAGAUACUCUAAUGCAUCUUCAGGACUUUUAUCCCUAACUCACCAUUACACAUCAUUUCUACUACCUGUCUACCUUGGGAUGUUAAUCCCUCGUAGAAAUAAGACAUUAAUCUCCAUGUUUCAAAACCGUGGUGUGGGCAAAUGUUAAGUAAUUCUUUAAAUCUAUCCCAACAUUGAUAGAGGGUUUCUCCUGGUUUUUUAGUGAAUGUGGUGAUUUGUCUUUUAAAAGAAUUUGUUUUGUGGGGUGGAAAGAAUUUUUUCAAAAAUUGUGCUUGCAUUUCAUCCCAAGUUCGGAUGGAUUCUGACCUAAGAUUUUGUAGCCAAGUUUUAGCUUUAUCCUUUAGUGAGAAAGGAAAAAACUUAAGCCUGAUUAUAUUCAUGCUACAAUUUUGAUCGGUACAUGUGUUACAGACUUCCUAAAAUUCCCUUAAAUGCAAAUAUGGAUUUUCAAAAUCAAAACCAAGAAAAGUAGGCAAAAGUUGAAUGAUAUCAGGCUUGAAAUUAAAAUGUGAUGAAUCAGGAGGAAAAACUAUGAAUGAUGGUGACCCUGUUCUAGUAGGAUGCAUGAAGUCUCUAAGGGUCCUAGGCUGUUCAUGAAGAUUUUGCAAGGCUUGGUCAUUUUCGUGCUCUGAAAAAUUUUCAGCUCAUAUAUCAGCCAUAUUUAAUUGUGGUGAAGGUGAUCUUCUAAUUAAUCUGCCACUAUUUAUAAGAGAUCAACAACGCAUGCAAUGCUAAUGAUGUGUGCUAAACCAAUGAUGCAUAAAACACUAAAUGAAAAAUUGCAAAAAUGAAAAUAAAUUGGAAUUUAAAUAAGUAAAAAAUGCGAAAUAAAAAUAAACAAACUGAAGAUAAAUAAAAUAAAUAAAUUAGGCGGUGAAACCAGCCAUAAACAAAGGAAUUAAAAGAAACAGUUUAGGAAGUAUUUUAAAACCAGCCAUAUAAUAAAACAUAAAAUUAAAUAAAUUAAUGCACAAAAAUAAAUAAACUGAAAUUAAAAUGUUAGGCGGUAGAACUGACCAUAUAAAAAAAAUACAUAAAUUAACAAAAUUUAAAUGACAGUCAGGCAGUAGAACCGACCAUUUAAAAUAAAUACGGAAAGUAAAUUGCAGAAAUUAAAAGAAAUAAAUUUGAUUGGGGACUGAUUUGCAAAGGUUUCUUGGCUAAGAUGAAGUUUCUCAUAAAUUUUAUGAAUAAUGUUAAGGUUUGAAAAGAAGAGGGGUGCUAAUUGAAGUUUUACAAAAAGAGAAUAAAAUAGAAUCACAGAAAGAUGGUAACGACAAAAUAAAAAUAAAGUAAAGACAAACUAAUACCAAAUUUAGAAAACUCCCUAGUAACGGCGCCAAAAACUUGACACGACUCAAAAGUGUAUUACUCUCAAAUAUAAGAGUGUCUAGUUAUAAUAUAACCCGGUGAGACCGGGGUUUAACCACAAGGAGUUUUAAAUAUGGUAAAACUAAGAAAAUUAAUUGAGGGGCAAAGAAAUUAUUUGAAAUUGAUUUUAAAAUAAGCUAAGGUUACGAGAUCCACUCUCAGUAUUCAAACUAUAAUUUUAAUACUCUCUCAUUUUUAGCCUUACUUUUUCCAGUUAAUUAUUAUAUCAUUUAAUUCUCAACUAACUAUGUGUGUGGAUAAAUAUGAAAUAAAGUACCUAAUGUGCCACACUAUAUUAAUGUGUCGACAUUAUGUCAAAAUACUAUACAUAUCCAAAGAAAUUUAUAAAUUAAUAUGACAUAAAAAUAACUAGAAAAGAAUAAAAUAAACUUUAAACUCAUUUGAGAAAAUAAUGAAUUUAAUAGUUUGAAACAUUGAGCUUCACCCUUCACCUCAGCUUAAUAAAAUUAGCCACUCAUAUUGAAAGAAAACACAACACUCUAUUUAUUUGAUAAACUUUUGAAAUACUUUACAAGAAAGUUUAUUACAAACGAAAACAAGAAAAGAAAAGAAAUAAAGAAAGAAAAAAAGAAAUUCUUCAGCUGCACUCUAUUCUCUCUCGGCUUAAGCUCCUCAAAAAUAGCUUCUGGCUCUCGGCUCUCUCUUCUCACUACAUUUCCUUGCCUUUUAUAGGCAAGGAAUUCAUUAUCUUUAUUU
RNAcentral lists this long non-coding RNA (16478 nucleotides) under Citrus x clementina. RNAcentral's name for it is "Citrus clementina (C. clementina) long non-coding RNA (CCLE_LNC000234)". Lineage: Eukaryota; Viridiplantae; Streptophyta; Magnoliopsida; Sapindales; Rutaceae. The record is from RNAcentral.